CUCUAAGUAGCAUUAUUAGGAGACAUCUAGCUAGCUAACUUUAGCUACAUGGACUCAUGUAAGGCAGUGUUACGGCUGUCGCCUUGCCUUCAGCAUUAACUGGCCUGUGAGUGUGUUGUGUGUGUAUAUAUGUGUAUGUUUGUUAUGUGUAUGUGUUUAGCUUAGGAUAUAUUGUGUUUUGUGUGUAUAUAUGUGUAUGUUUGUUAUGUGUUUAGCUUAGGAUAUAUUGUGUUUUGUGUGUAUAGACAGCUCAGAGCCUUUGAACAGCCUGCACGUUGUUUAUAUCACUCUAUGUUGAGGUUAAUAUUAAAAACAACCUCUUUACCAAGACCAUCUGGUUAUGUGUUGCUUGUGAUGUUGUUAAAUGUAUGUUACCAACUCGCAAGUUGUGAACUGGAGCUUCAAUUGUGUAGGUCAACCAUUCCCAGAGGUCUGGAGAAACACCAUUAAAAACGUGGAUUGUAGCUAAAGAAGAUGGAGAGGUUGUUACAGCACACUGUAACUGUAUGGCUGGUUCUGUUUGCAAUCGAAGCAGGUGUGAAGAUGAGAGAGACUGCAUCCUGCACCACUGAGAAGUGCAAGUGGCUAAUGCCAUCACAUGUCAAAAAGAUUCCUGCUGCUCCAGUUGCGAUGAUAGACUUUUCAUCCGCAAAAUCCAAAAAGCAAAAACUGGAUGAUGCCAUUGCUGGAAGGACAGGUGAGAAGCACACAUUUCAGCGUCCCACAGUCCAGGGUUCAAAGUUGGAGCGAGGAUCAGAGAGGUAUAUGCAGUUUU
Gymnodraco acuticeps is the source of this 775-nucleotide long non-coding RNA. RefSeq lists it as uncharacterized. The transcript has 3 exons. The record is from RefSeq and is a predicted model, not a curated record. Lineage: Eukaryota; Metazoa; Chordata; Actinopteri; Perciformes; Bathydraconidae.